Molecule: transfer RNA, 91 nt
Filed under: Deefgea sp. CFH1-16
Lineage: Bacteria; Pseudomonadati; Pseudomonadota; Betaproteobacteria; Neisseriales; Chitinibacteraceae
Description: tRNA-OTHER
Rfam family: tRNA
About the family: Transfer RNA (tRNA) molecules are approximately 80 nucleotides in length. Their secondary structure includes four short double-helical elements and three loops (D, anti-codon, and T loops). Further hydrogen bonds mediate the characteristic L-shaped molecular structure. tRNAs have two regions of fundamental functional importance: the anti-codon, which is responsible for specific mRNA codon recognition, and the 3' end, to which the tRNAs corresponding amino acid is attached (by aminoacyl-tRNA synthetases). tRNAs cope with the degeneracy of the genetic code in two manners: having more than one tRNA (with a specific anti-codon) for a particular amino acid; and 'wobble' base-pairing, i.e. permitting non-standard base-pairing at the 3rd anti-codon position.
Source: RNAcentral
GGAAGCGUGGCUGAGUGGUUUAAGGCAGCGGUCCUUGAAAACCGUCGAGGAUGUGAGUCCUCCCAGAGUUCGAAUCUCUGCGCUUCCGCCA